GAUUCAAACUCUUCCAACCCUCGAGUGUCUGUUGUUUAAUGACAAAAACAACUUCUCAAAUAACCAAGGGGCAAAGGCCCUCAAAAGAGAAGUUACCAGAUGACAAGCAAACAAAUAAGCAGAAGAAUCAUCUAUAUGUACUAACAAGACUUUCAGAUUUGCCAUUUCCCCAAGAUAUUCAGGUAAGGAUCCAUUCAUAUUGCAACUCCUCAAAAUC
Molecule: long non-coding RNA, 217 nt
Filed under: Actinidia chinensis (golden kiwifruit)
Lineage: Eukaryota; Viridiplantae; Streptophyta; Magnoliopsida; Ericales; Actinidiaceae
Description: long non-coding RNA (ACHI_LNC003641)
Source: RNAcentral